RNAcentral lists this ribosomal RNA (399 nucleotides) under uncultured bacterium. Its description in RNAcentral is "bacterial SSU rRNA". It matches the Rfam family "Bacterial small subunit ribosomal RNA", at positions 975 to 1375 of the family's 1533-position model. The record is from RNAcentral.
CAGGUCUUGACAUCCCGAUGCUAUUUCUAGAGAUAGAAAGUUACUUCGGUACAUCGGUGACAGGUGGUGCAUGAUUGUCGUCAGCUCGUGUCGUGAGAUGUUGGGUUAAGUCCCGCAACGAGCGCAACCCCUAUUGUUAGUUGCCAUCAUUCAGUUGGGCACUCUAGCGAGACUGCCGGUAAUAAACCGGAGGAAGGUGGGGAUGACGUCAAAUCAUCAUGCCCCUUAUGACCUGGGCUACACACGUGCUACAAUGGUUGGUACAACGAGUUGCGAGUCGGUGACGGCAAGCUAAUCUCUUAAAGCCAAUCUCAGUUCGGAUUGUAGGCUGCAACUCGCCUACAUGAAGUCGGAAUCGCUAGUAAUCGCGGAUCAGCACGCCGCGGUGAAUACGUUCCC